RNAcentral lists this long non-coding RNA (1089 nucleotides) under Phoenix dactylifera (date palm). RNAcentral's name for it is "long non-coding RNA (PDAC_LNC015973)". The record is from RNAcentral. Lineage: Eukaryota; Viridiplantae; Streptophyta; Magnoliopsida; Arecales; Arecaceae.
AAUGGUUCUAUAUUGGUAUUGUAGACCAAAUUGCGGGUCGUUUCUGACAUUAUUAUUUGCGUUGAAUACUGCAUUUGAUAGUGGUAUUUUGAUCUUUUGAACUGAAUCAUGCAAUGCAAAUAAAGGAACCAUGAUGUGUAUUAAAAAGAAAAGGGUGAUAAAAUGAUCAUAAUAAAGGAUUGCACGACAUUGUUGUUUUUGUGCUCUAGAAUUGGGUCAUGGUCCUCUAUAUUUGCAAGAAAGCCUUGGGAUGAAACCUAUAUUACCUGAUAAAGGUGUGUGAACUAGAUUAUGAACAUAGAAUUGUGCCUAAGAAAGGAUUUAGGCUAGUAUGAUUUUGGUUUUUCAGUUUUUAUCAUGAAAUAUCCCUUGACAGUAAGUGCUUUAAAAAUUUUUCCCAGCAUACAAUCACAAACCUGUUUUAUCAAAAGAAACAACUAGCUCUAAUUAUUCAACACUAGACUUUCCUUCUUAGGGUGAUAUGGCUUUUGAAAUUCUACUCCUAUAUGCCUUCUUUCUAUGCUUUCGGUUCUUUAGUGUUAUCAUAUUCAAUCUAGAAUGAUCUUGGUUAAGUUGAAGUUAUAGCAUUUAGGUUCCAUAUAUCAUGUUUCAGUAAUUAUAUAUGAUCAUGUGGCUCUUAAGAUGACAAUCACCAUAUAGGUGUUCUUUUUUCCGUUUUGGAAAACAGAGAGGAAAAAAGAACAACUAUUUGCCUUUUAUUGGACUUAGUGAUCUAAAUAUCACUCCAAAAUUAGUCUGCUCUCUAUCUUUUUAUCAGAUUGUUAGGAGUCUAUUAAGGAUCUACUGGUGCCAAACUAUGAGGGCUUCUGUGUUUUUUUUGUAUUUUUUGUAAAGUUCAUAAAUGGGAUGUAAAGGUGCUCGUACAAAGUCAUUACUGGGUGCCUGUUAGGUCUCAUAUUAGUUGCUUAUUUGCAGUCCUUAACCUCAAAAUGGGGCUUAAUUAUGUGUCCAGCCAGUCCUUCAAUUCAGAGUUUUACGGCUGCCAAUUCUUUAAAUGAGGGCUUCUGUAUUUUUUUUGUAUUUUUUGUAAAGUUCGUAAAUGGGAUGUAAGGGAUGCUCGUACAAAGU